CGUUGUCGUCAGCUCGUGCCGUGAGGUGUUGGGUUAAGUCCCGUAACGAGCGCAACCCUUGUCCUUAGUUACCAGCACGUUAUGGUGGGCACUCUAAGGAGACUGCCGGUGACAAACCGGAGGAAGGUGGGGAUGACGUCAAGUCAUCAUGGCCCUUACGGCCUGGGCUACACACGUGCUACAAUGGUCGGUACAAAGGGUUGCCAAGCCGCGAGGUGGAGCUAAUCCCAUAAAACCGAUCGUAGUCCGGAUCGCAGUCUGCAACUCGACUGCGUGAAGUCGGAAUCGCUAGUAAUCGUGAAUCAGAAUGUCACGGUGAAUACGUUCCCGGGCCUU
This 336-nucleotide ribosomal RNA is filed under the name uncultured Pseudomonas sp. Its description in RNAcentral is "bacterial SSU rRNA". It matches the Rfam family "Bacterial small subunit ribosomal RNA", at positions 1047 to 1382 of the family's 1533-position model. Lineage: Bacteria; Pseudomonadati; Pseudomonadota; Gammaproteobacteria; Pseudomonadales; Pseudomonadaceae. The record is from RNAcentral.